UACGGGGGGAGCAAGCGUUGUUCGGAUUUACUGGGCGUAAAGGGUCCGUAGGCGGUUUAGUAAGUCAGUGGUGAAAGCCCAUCGCUCAACGGUGGAACGGCCAUUGAUACUGCUAGACUUGAAUUAUUAGGAAGUAACUAGAAUAUGUAGUGUAGCGGUGAAAUGCUUAGAGAUUACAUGGAAUACCAAUUGCGAAGGCAGGUUACUACUAAUGGAUUGACGCUGAUGGACGAAAGCGUGGGUAGCGAACAGG
RNAcentral lists this ribosomal RNA (253 nucleotides) under uncultured bacterium. RNAcentral's name for it is "partial 16S ribosomal RNA". It matches the Rfam family "Bacterial small subunit ribosomal RNA", at positions 524 to 776 of the family's 1533-position model. The record is from RNAcentral.